AGAGUUUGAUCAUGGCUCAGAUUGAACGCUGGCGGCAGGCCUAACACAUGCAAGUCGAGCGGAAACACAAGGGAGCUUGCUCCUGAGGUGUCGAGCGGCGGACGGGUGAGUAAUGCUUGGGAAACUGCCCAGUCGUGGGGGACAACCAUUGGAAACGAUGGCUAAUACCGCAUACGCCCUACGGGGGAAAGGAGGGGACUCUUCGGAGCCUUUCGCGAUUGGAUGUGCCCAAGUGGGAUUAGCUAGUUGGUGAGGUAAAGGCUCACCAAGGCGACGAUCCCUAGCUGGUUUGAGAGGAUGAUCAGCCGCACUGGAACUGAGACACGGUCCAGACUCCUACGGGAGGCAGCAGUGGGGAAUAUUGCACAAUGGAGGAAACUCUGAUGCAGCCAUGCCGCGUGUAUGAAGAAGGCCUUCGGGUUGUAAAGUACUUUCAGCGAGGAGGAAAGGUUAGUAGUUAAUAACUGCUAGCUGUGACGUUACUCGCAGAAGAAGGACCGGCUAACUCCGUGCCAGCAGCCGCGGUAAUAAU
RNAcentral lists this ribosomal RNA (532 nucleotides) under uncultured bacterium. RNAcentral's name for it is "bacterial SSU rRNA". It matches the Rfam family "Bacterial small subunit ribosomal RNA", at positions 8 to 526 of the family's 1533-position model. The record is from RNAcentral.